Molecule: long non-coding RNA, 860 nt
Filed under: Mus musculus (house mouse)
Lineage: Eukaryota; Metazoa; Chordata; Mammalia; Rodentia; Muridae
Description: lincRNA-EC130
Source: RNAcentral
CAGAGCAUGAUGUCUGGGAGAAACUGCAGCCUUUCCCUAAGAAGUCUGAGACACAAGUGUAACCCACAUGCGAAUGGAAGGCGCUGAGAAGGAAAGGGCUGAGAACGGAAGGGGCGCAUGAUCACUGAGGACUCAGCUGUCACGUAGAGUUCUUCAGGAAGGGAUAUGGAAAACUACUGCUGACCUCUAAAGUACUCCCUGUGAAGAAGGGCCAAAGUCAUGCACACCUAGGCCUCAGUGGAUAUUGGCGGUGGAGAGGAAACAGCAGAGGACUCUUGGGUGCAGCCUCACUGCCUGCAGCAGAGAAGAAAGUCCCUCUCUCCCAGUUUCUGAGCAUUGGACUAUGAAAAUCGAAUGGAGAUCUGUGCAGAGACUUCCGCCAGCCUUGACAAGCGUAUAUGGAGAGACCAGGACACGCCAGCCUUGACAAGCGUAUAUGGAGAGGCCAGGACAACAGAGACAGACUGAGAGGAGAGAGCUGCAAGCGUCCACAUUGUCAUGUCUCCUGUGUUAUCCUAACCACUAACCUUGAGAUGGCACCUUGGGCAUCACAGCAUAAAAUGCCACUCACAGGAAUUCACCUGUGACAUAGAGCCCACUAAUGCACUGUGGCACCUCCAAAACUCCAAGCAAACUGGCUAAUUGUUUUUACAACUUUUAAUUUUGUUAUUUUGGAGACAGGCUUUCACAUAGCCCAGGCUGGCCUUGAACUCACUAUGUAGCCAGUAUGUCCUUAAACUCCUGGCCCUCCUGUUGCCACUUCCUAAAUGCUAGAGUUAUAGGCACAUAGGACCAUGAAAUUUUAGAGAUGGUGAUGUCCACUAUAAUCCCAACAUUCAGGAGGCUAAAACUAGCCUGGG